GACGAACGCUGGCGGCGUGCCUAAUACAUGCAAGUAGAACGCUGAAGCGAGGAGCUUACUCUUCUUGGAUGAGUUGCGAACGGGUGAGUAACGCGUAGGUAACCUGCCUUGUAGCGGGGGAUAACUAUUGGAAACGAUAGCUAAUACCGCAUAACAAUGGAAGACACAUGUCACUUAUUUGAAAGGGGCAAUUGCUCUACUGCAAGAUGGACCUGCGUUGUAUUAGCUAGUAGGUGAGGUAAUGGCUCAACUAGGCGACGGUACAUAAGCGACCCGGGGAGGGGGUCCGCCCAACCGGGAACUGAGCACGGCCCAGACUCCCACCGGGAGGAAGAGGUGGGGAACCUCGGCCAUGGGGGCAAACCUGAACGGGCAACGCCGCGUGGGUGAAGAAGGUUUUCGGGUCGUAAAGCUCUGUUUUUAGUCGAGAACGGGUGUGGGAGUGGAAAGUUCACACUGUGACGGUAGCUUACCAGAAAGGGACGGCUAACUACGUG
RNAcentral lists this ribosomal RNA (497 nucleotides) under uncultured bacterium. RNAcentral's name for it is "partial 16S ribosomal RNA". It matches the Rfam family "Bacterial small subunit ribosomal RNA", at positions 28 to 507 of the family's 1533-position model. The record is from RNAcentral.